AUACGGAGGAUCCGAGCGUUAUCCGGAUUUAUUGGGUUUAAAGGGUGCGCAGGCGGCCAUUUAAGUCAGCGGUUAAAUCGUGGGGCUCAACCCCAUUCUGCCGUUGAUACUGGGUGGCUUGAUUGCGGUCGAGGUUGGCGGAAUUCGUUGUGUAGCGGUGAAAUGCAUAGAUAUGACGAAGAACACCGAUUGCGUAGGCAGCUGACCAGACCGCAAAUGACGCUCAUGCACGAAAGUGCGGGGAUCGAACAGGAUUAGAUACCCUGGUAGUCCGCACAGUAAACGAUGAAUACUUGUUUUCGGCGAUAUAAUGUCGGAGGCAAAGCGAAAGCGAUAAGUAUUCCACCUGGGGAGUACGCCGGCAACGGUGAAACUCAAAGGAAUUG
Molecule: ribosomal RNA, 386 nt
Filed under: uncultured bacterium
Lineage: Bacteria
Description: partial 16S ribosomal RNA
Rfam family: Bacterial small subunit ribosomal RNA
Source: RNAcentral